AGAGUUUGAUCCUGGCUCAGAUUGAACGCUGGCGGAAUGCUUUACACAUGCAAGUCGAACGGCAGCAUAGAGAGCUUGCUCUCUGAUGGCGAGUGGCGAACGGGUGAGUAAUAUAUCGGAACGUGCCUAGUAAUGGGGAAUAACUAGCUGAAAGGUUAGCUAAUGCCGCAUACGACCUACGGGUGAAAGCAGGGGAUCUUCGGACCUUGCGUUAUUAGAGCGGCCGAUAUCUGAUUAGCUUGUUGGUGGGGUAAUGGCCUACCAAGGCGACGAUCAGUAGCUGGUCUGAGAGGACGAUCAGCCACACUGGAACUGAGACACGGUCCAGACUCCUACGGGAGGCAGCAGUGGGGAAUUUUGGACAAUGGGGGCAACCCUGAUCCAGCCAUUCCGCGUGAGUGAAGAGGGCCUUCGGGUUGUAAAGCUCUUUCGCAAGAGAAGAAAACUUGCUAUCUAAUAAAUAGUAAGUAUGACGGUAUCUUGACAAGAAGCACCGGCUAACUACGUGCCAGCAACCGCGGUAAUAAGGGCGA
RNAcentral lists this ribosomal RNA (533 nucleotides) under uncultured beta proteobacterium. RNAcentral's name for it is "bacterial SSU rRNA". It matches the Rfam family "Bacterial small subunit ribosomal RNA", at positions 8 to 537 of the family's 1533-position model. Lineage: Bacteria; Pseudomonadati; Pseudomonadota; Betaproteobacteria. The record is from RNAcentral.